This 590-nucleotide ribosomal RNA is filed under the name uncultured Pseudozyma. Its description in RNAcentral is "LSU rRNA". It matches the Rfam family "Eukaryotic large subunit ribosomal RNA", at positions 85 to 657 of the family's 3401-position model. Lineage: Eukaryota; Fungi; Basidiomycota; Ustilaginomycetes; Ustilaginales; Ustilaginaceae. The record is from RNAcentral.
UACGGCGAGUGAGAGGGAAGAGCCCAAGGUUGAAAGCUGGCGCCUUCGGCGUCCGCAUUGUGAUCUCAAGAAGUGUUUUCCGCUUCGGACCAUGCCUAAGUCCCUUGGAAAAGGGCAUCAUAGAGGGUGAUAAUCCCGUACAUGGCAUGGAGCGCCCGAAGCUUUGUGAUACGCUUUCUAAGAGUCGAGUUGUUUGGGAAUGCAGCUCAAAAUGGGUGGUAAAUGCCAUCUAAGGCUAAAUAUUGGGGAGAGACCGAUAGCGAACAAGUACAGUGAUGGAAAGAUGAAAAGAACUUUGAAAAGAGAGUUAAACAGUACGUGAAAUUGCCAAAAGGGAAGGGUAGGAGGUCAGAGAUGCGUCGCAGGAUUCAGCCUUGCUUUUGCUUGGUGUUUUUCCUGCGUUGCAGGCCAACGUCGGUUUUGGGCACUGGAGAAGGGUAGGAGGAACGUGGCACCUCUCGGGGUGUGUUAUAGCCUCCUACUGGAUACAGCGACCGAGACCGAGGAACGCAGCGUACUCGUAAGAGCGGGCCUUUUGGCACCUUUACGCUUAGGGCGUUGGCAUAAUGGCCCUCUACCACCCGUCUUGA